Molecule: ribosomal RNA, 632 nt
Filed under: uncultured bacterium
Lineage: Bacteria
Description: bacterial SSU rRNA
Rfam family: Bacterial small subunit ribosomal RNA (bases 1-526)
Source: RNAcentral
CCUACGGGAGGCAGCAGUGGGGAAUAUUGCACAAUGGGCGAAAGCCUGAUGCAGCGACGCCGCGUGAGGGAUGACGGCCUUCGGGUUGUAAACCUCUUUCAGCAGGGAAGAAGCGAGAGUGACGGUACCUGCAGAAGAAGCGCCGGCUAACUACGUGCCAGCAGCCGCGGUAAUACGUAGGGCGCAAGCGUUGUCCGGAAUUAUUGGGCGUAAAGAGCUCGUAGGCGGCUUGUUGCGUCGGUUGUGAAAGCCCGGGGCUUAACCCCGGGUCUGCAGUCGAUACGGGCAGGCUAGAGUGUGGUAGGGGAGAUCGGAAUUCCUGGUGUAGCGGUGAAAUGCGCAGAUAUCAGGAGGAACACCGGUGGCGAAGGCGGAUCUCUGGGCCAUUACUGACGCUGAGGAGCGAAAGCGUGGGGAGCGAACAGGAUUAGAUACCCUGGUAGUCCACGCCGUAAACGUUGGGAACUAGGUGUUGGCGACAUUCCACGUCGUCGGUGCCGCAGCUACGACAUUAACGUUCCCCGUCCCGUCGGGGAGGUACGGGCCGGCCGAACGGACGUAAAACCGUAACAAAUAAGUAAGUUAGUUACGGCGUGAGACGUGCCGACGGACGACGACGAGGGGAGGUUAGG